Molecule: long non-coding RNA, 799 nt
Organism: Alosa sapidissima (American shad)
Lineage: Eukaryota; Metazoa; Chordata; Actinopteri; Clupeiformes; Clupeidae
Exons: 3
Source: RefSeq, a predicted model, not a curated record
UACAUAUAUUGAAAUCACGUUUGCGAUGCAAACCUUGAUUAAGGUGAUAUUGGCACUGGUAUUUCAGUCAAUGAAGUCAGUGAAGCACUCUGCUAUGAUAGCUACCUACAACUUUAGCAUGUUGACUCACUGAUAAUGGUUUAGCCCUAGCCUCUAGCUAGCUGUGCAUUAACGUUUGCAUUUUGCCAAGUGUGGUCUCAUACGUAACUUUAGUGUCUAUCUGCCAUCUUUGUAAUGAAAGCCUCGGCAUUUUAAUCACUGUUUAAGUCGGUUCAGACAACUAUUGGCAUCGGUUUGUGAUUUAUUAUGCUAACGUAACGUAACUGUAUGGAACUUGGUCCCCAUCUUCUAUUUUGUUUGUUCUGCAGCGUCAACUUUUAUCGGCUGGAUUCUAGCAUCUAACGUUACGAUUGCCUCUGUUGGGUUUGCUUGAUCAACCAUCGUUUCGGGGACUCUGAUGACAGUGAAGAGCCAGAAAAUGGUGACUUUGCAUCUCUGAGGUACCUUCCAACUCGCCUGGUAUGUCAGUUGAACCCUCAAGCCCAAGCCAAUUGCACUGGCAAACUCCACCAUCUCGCCGAGUGCCAGGCAGCCGAGUCACUACCCCUCAACCUGGAGAAAACUGUUAAGGUAAAGACUGAUCUCUGAAAUAAUAUUGAAUACAGUGGCCCCAUCUAUAUUAACACAGCAGUAGUCACUCCAUUUCAGAUCAACAGAUUGCAUCUGCAUUACCAUCUGAUAUUUUCUGCAUACUUUAUCCAUUACUUUCAAAAUCUCAGCCAAAUAUUUUGUCAGUUAA